Molecule: transfer RNA, 92 nt
Filed under: Pichia kudriavzevii
Lineage: Eukaryota; Fungi; Ascomycota; Pichiomycetes; Pichiales; Pichiaceae
Rfam family: tRNA
About the family: Transfer RNA (tRNA) molecules are approximately 80 nucleotides in length. Their secondary structure includes four short double-helical elements and three loops (D, anti-codon, and T loops).
Source: Rfam by way of RNAcentral
UCCCUGUUAGCUCAGUCGGUAGAGCGUUCGGCUUUUAAGAAUUCUUUAAGAAGUCGACCGAAAUGUCCAGGGUUCGAGCCCCUGAUAGGGAG